This is a small nucleolar RNA of Eublepharis macularius, 112 nucleotides long. RefSeq annotates it as small nucleolar RNA SNORD67. The transcript has a single exon. The record is from RefSeq and is a predicted model, not a curated record. NCBI's taxonomy places the organism in Eukaryota, Metazoa, Chordata, Lepidosauria, Squamata, Eublepharidae.
UGCGAGAAUGAUGAGUUGCACAUUUGGUGGAGCUGGAGUGUCAGGUGAUGCAAGCACCACUCAGAACCUCCCUGAUGACACAACAAGGUGCACAGGGGCCAUCUGACUCGCU